This 984-nucleotide long non-coding RNA is filed under the name Cricetulus griseus (Chinese hamster). RNAcentral describes it as "lncRNA (ENSCGRG00015042219.1)". Lineage: Eukaryota; Metazoa; Chordata; Mammalia; Rodentia; Cricetidae. The record is from RNAcentral.
GUCUAUUUCUCCUGCCUCUACUGUUUGAGUGCUGACCACAGGCAUGUACCUGGCUAGUUCAUAAUAUUUAUUGAAUUGACAGGAAGGAUUCUAUGCUAGGAAUAGUUUGUCAUUAGCAAUUUGAAGUGGGCCACUAACCAACUGCUGUAUUUAGUACCUCUUUUUUUUUUUCUUUUUUGUAGGAAAUAUAUCAACUUGGACAGCCAUCCCCAGGGGCCUGCUGUUGAAAUAUUUCCUGAGUGCUGAAGGGUCUCAUAUAGCCAACCCCAGCUUGCUUCCAUCUCCUUGUAUAGCUGAAGUGACCUGAACUUCUGGUCCAUCUGCCUCUACCUCCCUGGACUGGGAUUACAGGCACAGUCACAUCCCUGGCCAAGACUGAAGACUGAAGUCACCGACAGAAGAACCGCCGAGGCCAGUGCUAAAUGAGCCUUCAAAGCAACAGGAUCUCAGUCCUCCCCCUUUAGAGGGAUGGGUGCCCUCCCACCUGCUACAAUACAAGAAAGAGUCAGAGUGCCAGAGUGUGUGUGGUGCCUGGUGAGAAGAUACGCACAAAAACUGAGGACCAUCUUCAAGGAUGUCAGAAAUAUCUCCUUCCUGCCCAAGGGCUCAUUGGGACCCUGACAGGGCAGGAGGAGGACACAGGAUGGAAACAGCAAAGAAUGGGUCCGAUGAGGACAGAAAGGCUGUUACCUUCAGGAUUCUGCUGGACCCCUGCUUCAGACUCUAGAGUUGGCAAAGUCAGACACGCCCUAGUUUUGCCCCGCAGACGUCUGGUCGGUUCCUCAUACUAGGAGAGAGGGGGCGCUCUGCUCCUAGACUUUCGUGCUUCCGCGGAACUGCAGUUCUGGCUAAGGUCCACAGCGUAGGGCUGGCUUGGGAAGUUCGCUAUGGGUGUUGGUGGAACAACUCCCCUCCCCAUGUCCGAGGUCUCUUUAGGCAGGGUCGUCCCGAUUCCGAGGGAAACAAUGCUUAAACUUCUACCUC